Non-coding RNA from Cajanus cajan (pigeon pea), 160 nucleotides. NCBI's taxonomy places the organism in Eukaryota, Viridiplantae, Streptophyta, Magnoliopsida, Fabales, Fabaceae. The record is from RefSeq and is a predicted model, not a curated record.
GGAAGAAUACAACAUCAAGGUGACUAUUCUUGAAAAUGUAUACUGGAAGGAAUUUGGACUUCUUGUAUUUGUUUGGGUUUCAUUCCUUGUACUACAGAUUGCCAAGGAAACCUACACGAGUACUUGUUCAAUGUUAUAUUGGGUACUGAACUUGUUACAG